Oncorhynchus tshawytscha (Chinook salmon) is the source of this 757-nucleotide long non-coding RNA. NCBI's taxonomy places the organism in Eukaryota, Metazoa, Chordata, Actinopteri, Salmoniformes, Salmonidae. The record is from Ensembl.
ACAGUAGGAUAUAGGACAGAUGCUGGCUGAACAGUAGGAUAUAGGACAGAUAUAGCCUCUGAACAGUAGGAUAUAGGACAGAUAUAGCCUCUGAACAGUAGGAUAUAGGACAGAUGCUGGCUGAACAGUAGAAUAUAGGACAGAUAUAGCCUCUGAACAGUAGGAUAUAGGACAGAUAUAGGCUCUGAACAGUAGGAUAUAGGACAGAUAUAGCCUCUGAACAGUGUAUGUUCCAUACUGCAUGUAUUAUAGUGGAUUUGUUUGCUGACUUCACAAAAUAAAUGUCCAUGUAAAUGGGCUAGGUCUAAAUGUCAAUGUAAAUGGGCUAGGUCUAAAUGGGCUAGGUCUAAAUGGGCUAGGUCUAAAUGGGCUAGGUCUAAAUGGGCUAAGUCUAAAUGGGCUAGGUCUAAAUGGGCUAGGUCUAAAUGUCCAUGUAAAUGGGCUAAGUCUAAAUGUCCAUGUAAAUGGGCUAGGUCUAAAUGUCGGUGUAAAUGGGCUAAGUCUUAAUGUCGGUGUAAAUGGGCUAAGUCUACUGUAUUUUGUAUAUCGUACUUUGCUCUCAUUUUGAGAGAAAUAAAAUCCAGUUCGAUUCCCAACUCAGUAACUCAGAUCAGCUUUAAUAUUGAACAUAGAUUGUAACUCAGACCUUGGGGGAAGAUCAGCUUUAAUAUUGAACAUAGAUUGUAACUCAGGCCUUGGGGAAGUUCUGCUUUAAUAUUGAACAUAGAUUGUUGAUUCCAUCAAUGUAAUUGUCUGC